AUUGAACGCUGGCGGCAGGCUUAACACAUGCAAGUCGAGCGGAGAUGAGGUGCUUGCACCUUAUCUUAGCGGCGGACGGGUGGGUAAUGCUUAGGAAUCUGCCUAUUAGUGGGGGACAACAUUCCGAAAGGAAUGCUAAUACCGCAUACGUCCUACGGGAGAAAGCAGGGGAUCUUCGGACCUUGCGCUAAUAGAUGAGCCUAAGUCGGAUUAGCUAGUUGGUGGGGUAAAGGCCUACCAAGGCGACGAUCUGUAGCGGGUCUGAGAGGAUGGUCCGCCAACCUGGGACUGAGACACGGCCCAGACUCCUACGGGAGGCAGCAGUGGGGAAUAUUGGACAAUGGGGGGAACCCUGAUCCAGCCAUGCCGCGUGUGUGAAGAAGGCCUUAUGGUUGUAAAGCACUUUAAGCGAGGAGGAGGCUACUGAGACUAAUACUCUUGGAUAGUGGACGUUACUCGCAGAAUAAGCACCGGCUAACUCUGUGCCAGCCGCCGCCGUAA
This 501-nucleotide ribosomal RNA is filed under the name uncultured bacterium. RNAcentral describes it as "partial 16S ribosomal RNA". It matches the Rfam family "Bacterial small subunit ribosomal RNA", at positions 30 to 523 of the family's 1533-position model. The record is from RNAcentral.